CCUGGUGGUGCACGUCCCCAACCUUAUGUGGAUUUCCUAAAUUCUGCAAAAAAGGUUUGGAAGCUGAUCAAUCAAUACUGGAACUCCCUCUUCUCCAGAAGAGACAUCCUGGCCUCCAUGCAGAGGAAUGUGUGGAUGGACAUAUAUUUAAGGAAGACACUAAACCAGAAAAUACUACAUUACACCCUCUUAGAAGUCUUCUAAGAUUGUUGUCAUGCCUACCACAGACAUUCAGAUGAUGUGUAUUGCUGAUUGUGAUUUCAUGUUUGGACCUGAUGAAGGAGUUUGAAGUCUCCAGAGCAGCAAAGAGAGUGGGGAGUAGAACUCAUCAUCUUUAGGUCACUCAUCAUCG
RNAcentral lists this long non-coding RNA (352 nucleotides) under Mus musculus (house mouse). RNAcentral describes it as "predicted gene 29286". Lineage: Eukaryota; Metazoa; Chordata; Mammalia; Rodentia; Muridae. The record is from RNAcentral.